This is a long non-coding RNA of Gopherus flavomarginatus (Mexican gopher tortoise), 351 nucleotides long. RefSeq lists it as uncharacterized. The transcript is spliced from 3 exons. NCBI's taxonomy places the organism in Eukaryota, Metazoa, Chordata, Testudines, Testudinidae. The record is from RefSeq and is a predicted model, not a curated record.
CGUUACAAAUACCAGCCUCGCAUUCUCCUCCCCACGUGGAGCGAGUUCCCUGGCGGGUGUGUCAUGCCACUUAGGACGGCCAGCUCUGCUCCGGGAGGUUUAGCAUUGUGACGGAAUCAGGCCCUCCGAGGCUGCUACUCCCUGCCUGCACCGUCUCAGGCUCUGGUCUCUAGGUUGCCUCUGACUGUGGGACACAAGGAGACCCUUGGAUAUCAUCAGUAAUAAUUCUCUUACCUUUGUCAACCCUGAACACAGAUCUUAUGGGUGUUUCUCCAGCUUACCUGAAAGUUAUUCAUGUGGCUCUUCUCUGAAUCUCUCCGGUUCACCAACAUCCUUCUUGUAUUGUGGACA